This 547-nucleotide non-coding RNA is filed under the name Pan troglodytes (chimpanzee). Lineage: Eukaryota; Metazoa; Chordata; Mammalia; Primates; Hominidae. The record is from RNAcentral.
ACAGGUACGUGGGCGGGCGGAUCGUGGUGGCUGCGCUUGCGAGCACCCUGAGGUAGAUUGGGUGGUUUCAGCAGGAACGCAUCCACUGUCUGAGAGUUUAAACUUGAUUUUGUGAGGGGACGAACAGCGUGACAAUUAAAGAAGAUCUAGGAAUCAAAAGCUUCCUGAGGCCUUCACCAGAAGCAGAUGCUGGUGCCGUGCUUCUACAGCCUGCAGAACUCAGAGCAACUGGGAACCUAAUUCUGACCAACAAGGAGGAAUUGUUUGGCUAAUUGGAAGUGACAGAAACCUUGGGAGAAAGCAACCGCAUACCAAGGAUAAUUAUAAGAAGGUAACAUGGGCCCUAAAGGAUAGUGUCAAGAAACCUGAAACCCCCAAAUGAGGUGAGACUUGCAAAAAAUGCUAAGGAAGGACAAAAAACAGGCCUUUUAAAAUUCUGUUCAGAACCAGAAGAUGAUCAAGAAAGGGAAAUGCCCACUAGCAGCUUCUACUGUAAGGUUAGAGCUGACAGAGAAAGAACUCCUUAACUACUAUUUGCUUCAUUCUC